AAAAAGACAAACCCUGGUUUUCGUGUCCAAUGUUUGACCGUUCGUCUUAUUUAAAAAAGUUAUAAAAAAAAUUAAAAAGAGAAGUCACGCAUAAAAUAUUAAUCAUGUUUUAUCAUCUAACAAGAAUGAAAAUACGAAUUAUAAAAAAAUUUCAUAUAAGACAGACAGUCAAAGUUGGACACGAAAACCCAUGGUUUGCUUUUUU
This 205-nucleotide microRNA precursor is filed under the name Oryza sativa Indica Group (long-grained rice). RNAcentral's name for it is "MIR812 microRNA precursor family". It matches the Rfam family "MIR812 microRNA precursor family". Lineage: Eukaryota; Viridiplantae; Streptophyta; Magnoliopsida; Poales; Poaceae. The record is from Rfam by way of RNAcentral.